CAACCAAUUGAAUAUUGCUUCUGUUGUGGUCCGUGCUCACUUCCGUUCGUGCGUGUGUUACGAUUUCUUUAAAAAAAAACGAAAUUGAUUUUAUAUCACAAUUAUCAAUACAAUUCAGUUUGAUGAAGAUUGAUAUAACCCUUUAUUAAAAACUGUACUUACCAAAUAGUUUUUCCGUACUGGUUUCACGAGAGAAAAAACGGACACACACCGACGCGUCCUACCGCUUGCAAACUUGAUUUCACACUACCACAUUUUCAUGUGAACGCGAAGCAGCGCCUUCCUCGUGUGGCUAUACAGGUAUUCCCCGAUAUACGCCAUACUCGAUAUACACGAUUUCGCUAUACGCUUUUUUUUCUAAAUUUGACGGUUCUUUGAACAAGAAAUACUAAUUUUAGAAAUCGAAUGUCAAAUGCAAAAUAAAUUCCCUUUUGGUUGAAUAUUAAAAACCAUUUCAAAUGGUAUAAAAUUGAAAAAUUCAGUUGAAAUUAGAUCAAAUAACUAAUUUAGUGGCUAAAACCUACCACUUCAUGCAAAGUUAUACGGAUAUUAGUUAUAAUUUGACUGAAAACCUCGAAAUUCGACUUUCGCUAUUGAAUAUUCGAGAUACGCUAUUGCCUCCGGUACGCAUUGAUAGCGUAUAUCGGGGAGUACCUGUACAAUGAUACAAAGAGCGGGCGAGAGGAUAACGCUUGCGUGAAUGAUUGGUGUAGCAAGCGAAUUUGGACAAGUCCCAGAAAAGCGAGACGCAAGAGUUUCUCUCCAACGAUGGAAAGGGAUGAGCUAAAUGAAACAUGCGAAUCGUUGAUGCGACACAGCCAAGUCGUAAGCAAAUACAGACCAACACCCAGAAGAGCGAGGCAGAAUGAAAAAUUUUGUGAAUGUUAGAAUGAGAAAAAUGAUAGAUACACAUAAAAAUCGCGCGAUAAUGCUGGUUGGGUUUGCCUGUAUUUUCAAUGAGCCAAGCGAUUUUACCCCCUCCUACACGCGAUGUAUCCUAAAGCACGCUUGUCGCGGCAACGUUCACCACAUACACACACACAUCUCCACACUCAGGGUACGACAUCUUCCCUGUUGCUGUUCUGGACACAGACAAAAUUUGUGUUUCUACACUUAUUGUUCAAAAAAGUAGUAGCUCUUAGGAUCUGAAUUUACAAACAAAUAUCAAAAUUUUAUGUUCUGCUAAUGAUAUUGCACUGAAUUUAAUUGCACUACAUUAAGUUUUGACAUAUCUUUCGUAAAAGUUCAUCAGCGUAUGAAAAUGUCGAUACAAUUUGUCAUGAAUAACUUCAAUUUCAAGAUUUUCGCGCAUAAAAUUAUGACGCACGCUGUGUGUGUGCGGCGGCGUAAUUCGCUUCUCGUAUAGCCGUCUCGCUUCUUCUUGUGUGUGCUUUACCGUUGCUCAUCGCUUCAAGAACAUUGCUGCUCACACACACGUCAGUCUGUGGCAAACAAUUGGAGGGGGAGGAUGUGUCGGUUUGCUCCAGAAAUCGUGCGUGAUUUUGGUGUUCUGGAUUUGGUUCCAUGCCUGUUUGUUUUGGUGAAUUUGAAAAGGUAAGAAUCGUCAACCGAUGUAAAAGUGUGAGAGUAAGAUGAUGCUGAUGGUGACUGAUGCUUUUAUUUGUUUCUUUUCCUGCUUUCAUCCACUGAUGGUGUCAAGCAUCGCCGAGGAUGUGAUCGAAUGCGGAGUAUUCGAAACGAGGAGAUUCAUUCCGGAUUUUGUUUGCAAUAAGCGCUGAACUAAUCCUCCAGCUUACAGGACGGCAAAGGUACACGCACAAACGUGCACACAUCAGCCUUCUCGGAGAACGAGAACACGGGAGGGGGAGACCGGCAACGUAUAGAACCUUUACGCUCCCUCGUGCGUUCGUGCGUGCGUGCGCGCGCGCGUCUAUGUGUGUGUAUGUGUGUGCAUGCCUGCGUGCGUGGCUGUGUGUGUUUUUGCCGCUUCGCAUAACGAGAUCCUACGGGAUCACCUUGCGAAAAACACCAAGAGAGGGGGAGGG
Anopheles coluzzii is the source of this 2006-nucleotide long non-coding RNA. RefSeq lists it as uncharacterized. The transcript is spliced from 2 exons. NCBI's taxonomy places the organism in Eukaryota, Metazoa, Arthropoda, Insecta, Diptera, Culicidae. The record is from RefSeq and is a predicted model, not a curated record.